UUUACAGUUUGCAGUGUGUACAUCUAUGUAUUGAAUAACAUACAUGCAACACAUAUUAUUAAGCUGCUGGUGAUGGUGUUGUGAUGAUGCCACUGUUAAUGCCACGGGAUCUGAAGAGGAUUAAGGACUUGGUGGGGUUAUACCAAGUAAAUUAAAAAAUAAUGAAUUUCUGCUCUGGCGUCGGCGGUACAAGGAAUCGUCUUUUUAAAACUGUUUAAUCACCGUUGACUCUAAACUAAGAACUGUUGUUGAACUAAACGUGUAAUGUCCACAUCGAGCGUAAUAUAACAAAUUUUUUUUUAA
Daphnia magna is the source of this 303-nucleotide long non-coding RNA. RefSeq lists it as uncharacterized. The transcript has 2 exons. NCBI's taxonomy places the organism in Eukaryota, Metazoa, Arthropoda, Branchiopoda, Diplostraca, Daphniidae. The record is from RefSeq and is a predicted model, not a curated record.